This 814-nucleotide ribosomal RNA is filed under the name uncultured Actinomycetes bacterium. RNAcentral's name for it is "bacterial SSU rRNA". It matches the Rfam family "Bacterial small subunit ribosomal RNA", at positions 335 to 1167 of the family's 1533-position model. Lineage: Bacteria; Bacillati; Actinomycetota; Actinomycetes. The record is from RNAcentral.
ACUCCUACGGGAGGCAGCAGUGGGGAAUAUUGCACAAUGGGGGAAACCCUGAUGCAGCGACGCCGCGUGCGGGAUGAAGGCCUUCGGGUUGUAAACCGCUUUCAGCAGGGGCGAAUUAAGACGGUACCUGCAGAAGAAGCGCCGGCUAACUACGUGCCAGCAGCCGCGGUAAUACGUAGGGCGCGAGCGUUGUCCGGAAUUAUUGGGCGUAAAGAGCUCGUAGGCGGCCUGUUGCGUCCGCUGUGAAAUCCUGGGGCUCAACCCCGGGCGUGCAGUGGAUACGGGCAGGCUGGAGGCAGGCAGGGGAGAACGGAAUUCCCGGUGUAGCGGUGAAAUGCGCAGAUAUCGGGAGGAACACCGGUGGCGAAGGCGGUUCUCUGGGCCUGUACUGACGCUGAGGAGCGAAAGCGUGGGGAGCGAACAGGAUUAGAUACCCUGGUAGUCCACGCCGUAAACGUUGGGCGCUAGGUGUGGGUCCCUUCCACGGGGUCUGUGCCGCAGCUAACGCAUUAAGCGCCCCGCCUGGGGAGUACGGCCGCAAGGCUAAAACUCAAAGAAAUUGACGGGGGCCCGCACAAGCGGCGGAGCAUGUUGCUUAAUUCGACGCAACGCGAAGAACCUUACCAAGGUUUGACAUGGACGGAAAUCCUCCAGAGAUGGGGGGUCCUUCGGGGCCGUUCACAGGUGGUGCAUGGCUGUCGUCAGCUCGUGUCGUGAGAUGUUGGGUUAAGUCCCGCAACGAGCGCAACCCUCGUCCAAUGUUGCCAGCGGGUAAUGCCGGGGACUCAUUGGAGACUGCCGGGGUCAACUCGGA